This 2477-nucleotide long non-coding RNA is filed under the name Pectinophora gossypiella (pink bollworm). Its description in RNAcentral is "uncharacterized LOC126370174". The record is from RNAcentral. Lineage: Eukaryota; Metazoa; Arthropoda; Insecta; Lepidoptera; Gelechiidae.
ACCCACACGUCACCGAGCUUAGCAUAGACCAAGGUAAUGUGGUGAGCCUUUCGCCGUCUAUUCUAUAACAGUCGAGCCGAUGUAAGUCUAUAUUUUUAUUAUAGUUAUGUUAUUAUGAGGUUUAUUUAAACAAUUCAGUUUUGAAGGCAGCUUACGUACUUAAUUUAGGUUACUAUGAAUUGAUAUGCUUUUAUGUAUUAUGGAACGGAAUAUGCAAUGGUUUGUGCCAAAAUAAAUUAAGUAUAUUAUUUUCAUAGUCUUCUAAAACGAUUCUAAUAUUAUAUUCACGACUGAAAUAUAAGUUUUUAUAAAUACCUGUAGACACUCCAUCUCAUAUCGUAUCAUAAAAAUGUAUUCGAUAUCAUAAAACUUAAGUUUAUAAGUCUCCAUAUUUCCUUCUCCAUGUAGACUUGAAUUCCAAAAAUAAUAAAACCGUAAUGUGUUACUCUUUGUUAGAACCAAAAUAUCCAUUUUCCAAACUUACUCAUGAAGUCUACUCUCUAUCAUUAACGUCAAUUUCUUUUCCAAAAAUAUCCAAUUCUAAAAGGUCCUUUAUGAAAAUACCUAGCCACUCCGUUAAAGGCUAUUUCCCAUAGAGCCGCGUUCCUAUAAUGGCCACUGCCAAAAAAUAAAUUUCCUCAAAUGACUAUAAAGUAUUUAUGUAUUGAUGUUGAUUCCAGUAAACACCAUCUAAUUUUAUUUUAAGUUAUAUCUGUCAUUUUCUUAUCCGCUGAAAAAAAAAGGGACGGGUAAUCGACAGACAUAAAAUUUUAUGGAACACGCGUCAAUUUUAGACAGAAAAAAAGACCCUUCCAAAAUUUUAUACUGGCCAAUAACCCGACAGAAUCAAGAUACAAGUAAAGAACCAGCACACGUCAAAAGGGUUGCAUAUAAGCAAGAUAACCCUCUUUUAUUCACCCGAGUUAUUUAUUCAUUUUAAAAUUAACAGUUGUCAAUCAUCCGUCCCUUUCAUUUUGGCGGAUAAGAAAAUGACAGGUAUAACUUAAAAUAAAAUUAGGAUGUGUCUGCAGGAAUCGGGGCCAUUGUUUUACUAAGUAUAGGCUCAAUCGUAUAUAUUAGGUCAUGACAUAGUCGAAAUCAAUAAGAGAACUUAUAGAUUUAUGAUUAAGAUCUCUUUCAGCUCGAAUCGUGGACAGACUUAAUACUGCGGGUGCUAAAUUAUAACGGAAAUAAAUACAAUUCUUAAGGCUACACGGUCCAAUUUCCCAUAUCAGCCUCAUAUCUUUGUCAACUUUUGGGCCUAAGUAUUAACCUUUCGCAACCCGAUGGCUCCUGAAAGAGCCAGCGCCAAAAACAACUAACUCCCGCCGGCUCCCCAAAGAGCCAACCCUACUGCGCUCCGAUUUCGCGCUUAUUUCUUAGUUAUUAUAGCAGAUAUUGGCUUGUAUUGUAUAUAUUUGACAAGGUAAUGAAGUGAGCAACAUAAUGUUACCAAAUACGAAGAACUUUUCAACUCUACUGUUAAAAAAUUGGAAUCGAAAAGUCGUGCUGCGCGUGGUGCACAUUUUUGCAUUUCUUGUGAAUAAUAUUGUGUUUUUUGGAUUUCCUCGGGUAAAAAAGACCUGGGUACCACCCACGACGCCAACAGUGGUUACGCCAAGGACAGCAUCCCUGCACCGAGAAGAUAUCCGAAUGUGCUAAAAUUUGUGAUCACUGGAACUUGAUGAUGGAACAACGUAACCUUAUUGAGUUUGGGUUCAUCUGUUUGUCUUGACGAGCAUUUUUAUAAAAGCCUGCUUUAAAAAUAUUUUUUUUAAUUAUAAAUAAAAUAAAUAAAAAAGGAAAUAUAUUUUUACACACAGACUCGUAAUUUUACUAAGUAUUAUAUACCUACUUAAAAAUGGAAAAACAGCAUAUUGACAGUUAUCUAAUAAGAAGUAGUUAUAAAAUAAAAAAUAUUAAGAUUUAUUACUGAAAAUAGUAUAAUGAAUUGGAUACAAUAGGUGCAUCUAGCUAAUAAAAUUAUUAUAAUCGUCUUAUUUUGUAAAAAAACAAUCAACCUGUACAUGAAAUCCUGAACUCCCCAGUGGCUCCCCAGGGAGCCACCUCGAAAGACGCGAAAAACGGCCGGGUUUUGACGGUUUCCGAGCCGCGACUCUCGGGUUGUGAAAGGUUAAUUGAACUUCCUAAACGCAUUAUAAUAAGUAGAAUUACAUAACUGUUUUAGUAUACUUAAAGUAAUAUAAAAUAAAAUUUCAUUAUCAGUAGAAAUUCUUUUAUUUAUUAAAUAAUAUGUAUACUAUUAUCCAAUGUCUGACACUGGUGUAAAAUCAUCAAAAUAUUGAAGACACAGUUGCAGUCUUUAUAAGUUCAAUAUCAAAUUGAAUACGCAUUAUAAUAAUAUAAUAGUGCUCUUAAACCUAUCGUCCUUCGCCAUAACGGUGCAGAUAUUAUAAGCGGUGUAUACCUUCACGUGGCUUUACAUUAAAAUAUGGCUAAAUAAUAACUUAAUAAAA